RNAcentral lists this ribosomal RNA (511 nucleotides) under uncultured bacterium. Its description in RNAcentral is "partial 16S ribosomal RNA". The record is from RNAcentral.
GGAGUUAGCCGGUGCUUCUUCUGCGAGUAACGUCACAGCUAGCAGGUAUUAACUACUAACCUUUCCUCCUCGCUGAAAGUGCUUUACAACCCGAAGGCCUUCUUCACACACGCGGCAUGGCUGCAUCAGGGUUUCCCCCAUUGUGCAAUAUUCCCCACUGCUGCCUCCCGUAGGAGUCUGGGCCGUGUCUCAGUCCCAGUGUGGCUGAUCAUCCUCUCAGACCAGCUAGGGAUCGUUGCCUAGGUGAGCCAUUACCUCACCUACUAGCUAAUCCCACCUGGGCUUAUCCAUCAGCGCAAGGACCGAAGUUCCCCUGCUUUCCCCCGUAGGGCGUAUGCGGUAUUAGCAGUCGUUUCCAACUGUUAUCCCCCACAAAUGGGCAAAUUCCCAGGCAUUACUCACCCGUCCGCCGCUCGUCAUCUUCAAAAGCAAGCUUUUGAAAUGUUACCGCUCGACUUGCAUGUGUUAGGCCUGCCGCCAGCGUUCAAUCUGAGCCAUAAUCAAACUCUGA